AGCAGCCGCGGUAAUUCCAGCUCCAAUAGCGUAUAUUAAAGUUGUUGCAGUUAAAAAGCUCGUAGUUGAAUUUCGGGGUUAGUAGGUCGGUCAUGCCACUGGUAUGUACUGGUCUCACUGAUUCCUCCUUCCUGAUGAACCGUAAUGCCAUUAAUUUGGUGUUGCGGGGAGACUGGACUGUUACUUUAGAAAAAAUUAGAGUGUUUAAAGCAGGCUCGCGCUUGAAUACAUUAGCAUGGAAUAAUGAAAUAGGACGUUUGAUUCUAUUUUGUUGGUUUCUAGGAUCGACGUAAUGAUUAAUAGGGAUAGUUGGGGGCAUUAGUAUUCAAUUGUCAGAGGUGAAAUUCUUGGAUUUAUUGAAGACUAACUACUGCGAAAGCAUUUGCCAAGGAUGUUUUCAUUAAUCAAGAACGAAAGUUAGGGGAUCGAAGACGAUCAGAUACCGUCGUA
Molecule: ribosomal RNA, 450 nt
Filed under: uncultured Glomeromycotina
Lineage: Eukaryota; Fungi; Glomeromycota
Description: SSU rRNA
Rfam family: Eukaryotic small subunit ribosomal RNA
Source: RNAcentral